Molecule: ribosomal RNA, 465 nt
Filed under: uncultured Klebsiella sp.
Lineage: Bacteria; Pseudomonadati; Pseudomonadota; Gammaproteobacteria; Enterobacterales; Enterobacteriaceae
Description: bacterial SSU rRNA
Rfam family: Bacterial small subunit ribosomal RNA
Source: RNAcentral
CCUACGGGUGGCUGCAGUGGGGAAUAUUGCACAAUGGGCGCAAGCCUGAUGCAGCCAUGCCGCGUGUGUGAAGAAGACCUUCGGGUUGUAAAGCACUUUCAGCGGGGAGGAAGGCGUUAAGGUUAAUAACCUUGUCGAUUGACGUUACCCGCAGAAGAAGCACCGGCUAACUCCGUGCCAGCAGCCGCGGUAAUACGGAGGGUGCAAGCGUUAAUCGGAAUUACUGGGCGUAAAGCGCACGCAGGCGGUCUGUCAAGUCCGAUGUGAAAUCCCCGGGCUCAACCUGGGAACUGCAUUCGAAACUGGCAGGCUAGAGUCUUGUAGAGGGGGGUAGAAUUCCAGGUGUAGCGGUGAAAUGCGUAGAGAUCUGAAGGAAUACCGGUGGCGAAGGCGGCCCCCUGGACAAAGACUGACGCUCAGGUGCGAAAGCGUGGGGAGCAAACAGGAUUAGAUACCCCUGUAGUC